GACGAACGCUGGCGGCGUGCUUAACACAUGCAAGUCGAACGGAAAGGCCCUGCUUUUGUGGGGUGCUCGAGUGGCGAACGGGGGAGUAACACGUGAGUAACCUGCCCUUGACUUUGGGAUAACUUCAGGAAACUGGGGCUAAUACCGGAUAGGAGCUCCUGCUGCAUGGUGGGGGUUGGAAAGUUUCGGCGGUUGGGGAUGGACUCGCGGCUUAUCAGCUUGUUGGUGGGGUAGUGGCUUACCAAGGCUUUGACGGGUAGCCGGCCUGAGAGGGUGACCGGCCACAUUGGGACUGAGAGACGGACCAGACUCCUACGGGCGGCAGCAGUGGGGAAUAUUGCACAAUGGGCGGAAGCCUGAUGCAGCAACGCCGCGUGCGGGAUGACGGCCUUCGGGUUGUAAACCGAUUUCGCCUGUGACGAAGCGUGAGUGACGGUAAUGGGUAAAGAAGCACCGGCUAACUACGUG
This 468-nucleotide ribosomal RNA is filed under the name uncultured bacterium. Its description in RNAcentral is "partial 16S ribosomal RNA". It matches the Rfam family "Bacterial small subunit ribosomal RNA", at positions 28 to 507 of the family's 1533-position model. The record is from RNAcentral.